GUACCUGCCUCCCCAUCUACGUCAAUUUAAAUGACACCCUUUCGGUCUCCACUCUCGAUUGACAGUCUAAAAGACUAGGAGAGAGUGAUCAAGUCUGAGCUGGACAUCUAUGGCAAACACAAUGAAGCCAAUUGUGUUUAAAUGACACCUGUUCUCGAUUAACAGUAGGAGAGGGUGAUCAAAUCAGAGCUGGACAUCUACG
Molecule: long non-coding RNA, 202 nt
Organism: Scomber japonicus (chub mackerel)
Lineage: Eukaryota; Metazoa; Chordata; Actinopteri; Scombriformes; Scombridae
Exons: 3
Source: RefSeq, a predicted model, not a curated record